Long non-coding RNA from Astyanax mexicanus (Mexican tetra), 1088 nucleotides. RefSeq lists it as uncharacterized. The record is from RefSeq and is a predicted model, not a curated record. Lineage: Eukaryota; Metazoa; Chordata; Actinopteri; Characiformes; Acestrorhamphidae. The transcript is spliced from 5 exons.
ACACAAAAAAACAAAAAAGGAUCCAGUCAAAAUUCCAGUGACUGCUGCACACACGUUCACUGAAAAAUAGCAAAAAUGAUUGAUGCCAAAACUUGGACUGAGAGAACUGCAGAUUCAUUUGAGGAAAUCCCAAGACAUAAAGGAGGCAACAACUGCGGUAUAUAUGUGCUGAUGGAAGACAUGCCUUUCAUCAGACGAUGGUGGUGUACUCUGCUGAUGACUAACUUCGCUGUGCAAAUGCCAAGAUGCAAGUUAUCUGAAGGAGAGGAUGGAAGUGAUGAGCCUCCUUAUAAGAAACAGCACCUCCAGGAACAAUCAGAUUGCACAGGUAUACACUGAUUUUUUAUUUUUUUUUGUAUUAUUUUGAACAGUGUGAUAGAUUACAACCAAUCCAUUUUCUCAGAUAAGGUGAUGUACAAAUUUGCUUCAUACUCAUGCAGACAAUGUUUUGUUAGGUACACCUAACUAACUGAUUAACAACAGACUGCAUGGGUGUUGCUAUUGAGUAAAUGCUAAACCAGAUACCCACAGAAAAAGAUUUGAGUAUAAGGUGUUCUGCUCUAAUUAUGUUCUACGGUGUAAAGAAAUAAUUCAUAUGGAACCAAGGAAUAGGAUAAUGUGAGUAAUAUAAUGUAUUUAAUAAGUGAUUAAAUAUAUACUGUUGUGUGUACAUGUCACUGGUUAAAUAUGCGCUACACCGCGCUGAACUUAGUUCAGAAUCAGCUUCUUAUCACUGCUAACGCCGCGGCUUUCCUCUCACUCAUUCCCGCAGUGGAGUAAAAUAAUGUAUUCAAUGCUUUGAUUAGAUCAGAGCUUAUGUGGCAUAGUCAGUGCUGAUUGCUUUUUAUUUGCCUGACAGCUGCAGUCCUGACUAGAUAUCUUCAUGUUGUGAUCGAGAGGUGUUUUACUGUUCACAAAAAUGUUAUCACACAAAUGUAUAUACAGGUGGAAGAGAACCUGAGGACUCACAGGAGAAUGCAACAAUCCUGCAGGUUUCUAUUAAAUAUUUUAAAUAUUUCAUAUUUUUAGAGGAUGGACAACUUGCAGGAUAAUGGUCAUUAAUGUGUUGUUGAACAACUCAAACAGAG